UGGGGAUACUGCGGGCCUUGGGACCGGGAGAGGCGGAGGGUACUCCUGGGGUAGGGGUNAAAUCCUNUAAUCCCAGGAGGACCGCCAGUGGCGAAGGCGCUCCGCUNGAACGGGUCCGACGGUGAGGGACGAANGCCAGGGGAUCAAACCGGAUUAAAUACCCGGGUAGUCCUGGCUANNAANCAUGCGGGCUAGGUGUCGNGCGAGCUUCGGGCUCGCCCGGUGCCGAAGGGAAGCCGUUAAGCCCGCCGC
RNAcentral lists this ribosomal RNA (252 nucleotides) under uncultured archaeon. RNAcentral's name for it is "partial 16S rRNA". It matches the Rfam family "Archaeal small subunit ribosomal RNA", at positions 576 to 827 of the family's 1478-position model. The record is from RNAcentral.